Molecule: transfer RNA, 75 nt
Filed under: Periweissella cryptocerci
Lineage: Bacteria; Bacillati; Bacillota; Bacilli; Lactobacillales; Lactobacillaceae
Description: Weissella cryptocerci tRNA-Asn
Rfam family: tRNA
About the family: Transfer RNA (tRNA) molecules are approximately 80 nucleotides in length. Their secondary structure includes four short double-helical elements and three loops (D, anti-codon, and T loops).
Source: RNAcentral
UGUCCAGUGGCACAAUGGUACUGCGCCUAACUGUUAAUUAGGAGAGUGUUGGUUCGAUUCCAACCUGGACAGUCA